Long non-coding RNA from Zingiber officinale, 272 nucleotides. RefSeq lists it as uncharacterized. The record is from RefSeq and is a predicted model, not a curated record. The transcript is spliced from 2 exons. NCBI's taxonomy places the organism in Eukaryota, Viridiplantae, Streptophyta, Magnoliopsida, Zingiberales, Zingiberaceae.
UUCUCCUCCUCUCCACAUAGAGAUUCUUCACCUCUUCCAUAUUUUUUCCUUCUAUAAUCCUUUUAUUUCUUUUCCAAUAAUUCCUUUUUUUCAACAGUGAGCAUAGCUUCAGUGGAUGCUCGUGCUCGUGCAUACUCCCCCAGAUGAGCAAAUCUGAAGUUACAGAUUAAGAGUUGCGAUUGGAACGGGGCGCUUUUCCAGGAAGCUAUGAACAGGGCGACUGAUGGCGUGGACGCAACUACUGAAACUCCUUUGGUGGCGUAGUUUAUAGG